CCCACCUAACCCCAUGCCGAACUCAGAAGUGAAACGCCGUAGCGCCGAUGGUAGUGUGGGGUCUCCCCAUGCGAGAGUAGGGAACUGCCAGGC
This 93-nucleotide ribosomal RNA is filed under the name Salmonella enterica. The record is from RNAcentral. Lineage: Bacteria; Pseudomonadati; Pseudomonadota; Gammaproteobacteria; Enterobacterales; Enterobacteriaceae.